Molecule: ribosomal RNA, 269 nt
Filed under: uncultured Dialister sp.
Lineage: Bacteria; Bacillati; Bacillota; Negativicutes; Veillonellales; Veillonellaceae
Description: partial 16S ribosomal RNA
Rfam family: Bacterial small subunit ribosomal RNA
Source: RNAcentral
CGGGUGAGUAACGCGUAAACAACCUGCCCUUCGGAUGGGGACAACAGCUGGAAACGGCUGCUAAUACCGAAUACGUUCUUUUCAUCGCAUGGUGAGAAGAAGAAAGGACGGCCUCUACACAAAGCGGUCGCCGAAGGAGGGGUUUGCGUCUGAUUAGCUAGUUGGAGGGGUAACGGCCCAACAAGGCGACGAUCAGUAGCCGGUCUGAGAGGAUGAACGGCCACAUUGGGACUGAGACACGGCCCAGACUCCUACGGGAGGCAGCAGAG